Molecule: unclassified non-coding RNA, 1164 nt
Filed under: Hevea brasiliensis (rubber tree)
Lineage: Eukaryota; Viridiplantae; Streptophyta; Magnoliopsida; Malpighiales; Euphorbiaceae
Source: RNAcentral
GAGGUUUUGAAGAGAAUUUUCUAGUAUAUUUAUAAAUGUAAAAAUACUUUGUACAUUUUGCUAUAUACACAAGAAUCCUAACUAUACAAGAAAACCUAAAUCAACGGGAAACUAACAGAAAUAGGAAACAAGGUAUACAAAAGAAGAAAAAAUAGUAAGGAAAAAAUAAUAAUCCCUAUAAUACAAGGAUUUAAUUUCGGAUUUUGAGCACUCCCGCUCAAGUUGGUUCAUGUAUAUCACAAUGCCCAACUUGCAAAGUAGAGGAUGAUACAUUUUGCUGCUUAAUCCUUUAGUGAACACAUUGGCCAACUAAUCUUUAGAAGGCACAUGAGAUACAUUCAACUAUCCAUCCACAAUUUUAUCCUUUAUGAAGUAUCGAUCAAUUUCUAUAUAUUUGGUUCGAUCGUGCUAUACUGGAUUGUGGACCAUAUUGAUAGCAACUUUGUUAUCACAAAACAAGUAUAAACUAUUUGUUUCUGAUAAUUUUGGUUCUUCCAUUAACUUUCAUAACCACAACAAUUCACAAAAACCUUGAGCCAUGGCUUUAUAUUCAGCCUCUGCACUAGAUCUAGUAAUCACACUUUCUUUUUUACUUCUCCAAGUGACCCGGUUACCACCAACAAAAGUAUAAUAACUCAUUGCUGGCCUUCUAUCAUCCAUAGAUCCAGCCCAAUCUAUAUCUCUAAAAGUCUUUUUUUGAAGAUGUCCAUGAUUUGAGAAAAGAAGUCUUCUCAUAGGGGCAGAUUUCAAAUAUCUUAGAAUGCGAAAAACAGCUUCUAAAUGAAAUUUACGAGAAUCAUGUAUAUUGACUCACCGAACUUACUGCAAACACUAUAUCUGGUCUAAUGUGUGAAAGAUAGAUCAAUCUGCCAACUAAUCUCUGUUAUCUCCCUAAAUCCACUAACUUCUCAACUUCAGCUUGCAAUCUAUGAUUUGACCGGUGGGAAACUCUGCUGGUUUACGGCCCAACAUACCUAUUUCUUCCAAAAGAUCUAAUAUGUACUUCCUCUGAAAAAUAAAGAUCCCUUUAUCUAAUUUGCCAACCUCUAUUCCAAGAAAGUUCCUCAAUUUUCUCAAGUCCUUAAUUUCAAACUCCUAUGCUAGACGUUGCUUCAGAUUUGCAUUUUCUUCCUCAUCAUCUCCUGUCACUACUAUGUCAUCCAC